This 477-nucleotide ribosomal RNA is filed under the name uncultured organism. RNAcentral describes it as "partial 16S ribosomal RNA". It matches the Rfam family "Bacterial small subunit ribosomal RNA", at positions 332 to 800 of the family's 1533-position model. The record is from RNAcentral.
UACACUCCUGCGGGAGGCAGCAGUGGGGAAUUUUGGACAAUGGGCGAAAGCCUGAUCCAGCAAUGCCGCGUGAGUGAAGAAGGCCUUCGGGUUGUAAAGCUCUUUUGUCAGGGAAGAAACGGUGAAAGCUAAUAUCUUUUGCUAAUGACGGUACCUGAAGAAUAAGCACCGGCUAACUACGUGCCAGCAGCCGCGGUAAUACGUAGGGUGCAAGCGUUAAUCGGAAUUACUGGGCGUAAAGCGUGCGCAGGCGGUUUUGUAAGUCUGAUGUGAAAUCCCCGGGCUCAACCUGGGAAUUGCAUUGGAGACUGCAAGGCUAGAAUCUGGCAGAGGGGGGUAGAAUUCCACGUGUAGCAGUGAAAUGCGUAGAUAUGUGGAGGAACACCGAUGGCGAAGGCAGCCCCCUGGGUCAAGAUUGACGCUCAUGCACGAAAGCGUGGGGAGCAAACAGGAUUAGAUACCCGAGUAGUCCCAUGA